This 483-nucleotide ribosomal RNA is filed under the name uncultured bacterium. RNAcentral's name for it is "partial 16S ribosomal RNA". It matches the Rfam family "Bacterial small subunit ribosomal RNA", at positions 28 to 507 of the family's 1533-position model. The record is from RNAcentral.
GACGAACGCUGGCGGCGUGCUUAACACAUGCAAGUCGAACGCUGAAGCUCAGCUUUUGUUGGGUGGAUGAGUGGCGAACGGGUGAGUAACACGUGAGUAACCUGCCUCCUUCUUUGGGAUAACGCCCGGAAACGGGUGCUAAUACUGGAUAUUCACUGGUCUUCGCAUGGGGGUUGGUGGAAAGGGUUUUUCUGGUGGGGGAUGGGCUCGCGGCCUAUCAGCUUGUUGGUGGGGUGAUGGCCUACCAAGGCUUUGACGGGUAGCCGGCCUGAGAGGGUGACCGGUCACAUUGGGACUGAGAUACGGCCCAGACUCCUACGGGAGGCAGCAGUGGGGAAUAUUGCGCAAUGGGCGCAAGCCUGAUGCAGCGACGCGGCGUGAGGGAUGGAGGCCUUCGGGUUGUGAACCUCUUUCGCUCAUGGUCAAGCCGCAACAAUGGUUGUGGUGAGGGUAGUGGGUAAAGAAGCGCCGGCUAACUACGUG